Molecule: transfer RNA, 66 nt
Filed under: Schlechtendalia chinensis (horned gall aphid)
Lineage: Eukaryota; Metazoa; Arthropoda; Insecta; Hemiptera; Aphididae
Description: tRNA-Trp
Source: RNAcentral
AAGAUUUUAAGUUAAAAAAAAUAAACUAUUAAUCUUCAAAAUUAAAAAUAAAUAUUUUAAAUCUUA